UUAUCCUACGGGAGGCAGCAGUGAGGAAUAUUGGUCAAUGGGAGAGAUCCUGAACCAGCCAAGCCGCGUGAGGGAAGACGGCCCUAUGGGUUGUAAACCUCUUUUGUCGGAGAACAAAACCCGGGACGUGUCCCGGACUGCGUGUAUCCGAAGAAAAAGCAUCGGCUAACUCCGUGCCAGCAGCCGCGGUAAUACGGAGGAUGCGAGCGUUAUCCGGAUUUAUUGGGUUUAAAGGGAGCGUAGGCCGGCUUUUAAGUCAGCUGUGAAAGUCCGCGGCUCAACCGUGGAAUUGCAGUUGAAACUGG
Molecule: ribosomal RNA, 305 nt
Filed under: uncultured bacterium
Lineage: Bacteria
Description: bacterial SSU rRNA
Rfam family: Bacterial small subunit ribosomal RNA
Source: RNAcentral